This 1341-nucleotide ribosomal RNA is filed under the name Calanus simillimus. RNAcentral's name for it is "SSU rRNA". It matches the Rfam family "Eukaryotic small subunit ribosomal RNA", at positions 424 to 1790 of the family's 1831-position model. The record is from RNAcentral. Lineage: Eukaryota; Metazoa; Arthropoda; Copepoda; Calanoida; Calanidae.
GGCAGCAGGCACGCAAAUUACCCAAUGACCGAAGGUCGAGGUAGUGACGAAAAAUAACGAUCCAGGACUCAUCCGAGGCCCUGGAAUCGGAAUGAGUACACUUUAAAACCGUCCCCGAGGAUCUAUUGGAGGGCAAGUCUGGUGCCAGCAGCCGCGGUAAUUCCAGCUCCAAUAGCGUAUAUUAAAGUUGUUGUGGUUAAAAAGCUCGUAGUUGGAUCUCGGCAGAUUGAAGGCGGUUUGCUUGCUAGUAUUACUGCCUUAUAAUCUGUAGUUUUGCCAGAGGUUUUAGGGUGCUCUUAAUCGAGUGUCCUGGGAUGCUGGCAGGUUUACUUUGAAAAAAUUAGAGUGCUCAAAGCAGGCUAUUACGCCUGAAUAUUUCGUGCAUGGAAUAAUAGAAUAGGAAGUCGUUUCUAUUUUGUUGGUUUUCGGAAAUCGACUUAAUGAUUAAUAGGGACAGUCGGGGGCAUUUGUAUUCAAACGACAGAGGUGAAAUUCUUGGACCGUUUGAAGACAAACUACUGCGAAAGCAUUUGCCAAGAAUGUUUUCAUUAAUCAAGAACGAAAGUUAAAGGUUCGAAGGCGAUUAGAUACCGCCCUAGUUUUAACCAUAAACGAUGCCAGCUAGCGAUCUGCGGACGUUUUUUUUGUAGACUCCGCAGGAAGCUUCCGGGAAACCAAAGCAUUUGGGUUCCAGGGGAAGUAUGGUUGCAAAGCUGAAACUUAAAGGAAUUGACGGAAGGGCACCACCAGGAGUGGAGCCUGUGGCUUAAUUUGACUCAACACGGGAAAUCUCACCAGGCCCGGACACUGGAAGGAUUGACAGAUUGAUAGCUCUUUCUUGAUUCGGUGGGUGGUGGUGCAUGGCCGUUCUUAGUUGGUGGAGUGAUUUGUCUGGUUAAUUCCGAUAACGAACGAGACUCUGUCCUGCUAAAUAGUGUUUGCUUCUCUUUUGAGCAAACAAUUCUUCUUAGAGGGACUGGCGACUCUUAGUCGCACGAGAUUGAGCAAUAACAGGUCUGUGAUGCCCUUAGAUGUUCUGGGCCGCACACGCGCUACACUGAAUAGCUCAGCGUGUUCUCCCUUUCCGAGAGGAACGGGUAAACCGCUGAACCCUAUUCGUGGUAGGGAUCGGGGCUUGCAAUUAUUCCCCGUGAACCAGGAAUUCCCAGUAGGCGCAAGUCAUCAGCUUGCGUCGAUUACGUCCCUGCCCUUUGUACACACCGCCCGUCGCUACUACCGAUUGAACGUUUUAGUGAGGUCCUCGGACUGUUUGCCUGGCGGAUUACUCUGCCUGGCUGGCGGGAAGACGACCAAACUGUAGCGUUAGAGGAAGUAAAAGUC